GACGAACCGUACGAACGUUAUUCGGAAUCACUGGGCUUAAAGGGUGCGUAGGCGGUCGGGUAAGUCUGAUGUGAAAUCUCACAGCUUAACUGUGAAACUGCAUUGGAUACUAUCCGGCUUGAGGAAUGGAGGGGAGACUGGAAUACUUGGUGUAGCAGUGAAAUGCGUAGAUAUCAAGUGGAACACCAGUGGCGAAGGCGAGUCUCUGGACAUUUCCUGACGCUGAGGCACGAAAGCCAGGGGAGCAAACGGG
Molecule: ribosomal RNA, 253 nt
Filed under: uncultured bacterium
Lineage: Bacteria
Description: partial 16S ribosomal RNA
Rfam family: Bacterial small subunit ribosomal RNA
Source: RNAcentral